GCCUAUCUCUUAAUUAAGUUGACGGAAACUGGGCUGAUUGGUCUCAGUGGUCUACGUGUGAUGUAACUUGUGAAAACGGUACACAGACAAGAACACGAACCUGCACAAACCCAGCACCAGCUCAUGGCGGAUUAAAUUGUACUGGAAGUGACAUAGAAUAUACGAAUUGUUACAGAAAACUGUGUCCGGUUCAUGGAGGCUGGAGUGUCUGGGGGCCGUGGGAAUUGUGUUCAGUCACCUGUGACGCGGGGAUUCAAAGGAGGCACCGAACGUGUUCAAACCCCUUUCCAGAAAGGUAUGGUGACCAUUGUUUCGGUGAUGGAAUGGAUGAUAGACUAUGCAUGCCUGGUUCAUGUACAGAUGGUGGAUGGGCAACGUGGGGUACAUGGAAUACAUGUAGUGUUACAUGUGGAGGAGGAAUUAAAGCUCGAUCACGAACAUGCACCAACCCACGCCCGUCACCAGCUGGAAAACAUUGCGAAGGUGAUUCGUUUUUCUAUUCACUACAUGCAGCAGUAACCCAUGCCACUGUGACUCAUUGCCAAGUAUCAAGGAUGGAACAGUGACAACCCCUGCCACAUCGCACGGGGCUACGGCUACAUAUACAUGCAUUGCCGAUUAUGCCCCUACG
Mercenaria mercenaria is the source of this 631-nucleotide long non-coding RNA. RefSeq lists it as uncharacterized. The transcript has 4 exons. The record is from RefSeq and is a predicted model, not a curated record. NCBI's taxonomy places the organism in Eukaryota, Metazoa, Mollusca, Bivalvia, Venerida, Veneridae.